CCCUUAGAUGUUCUGGGCCGCACGCGCGCUACACUGAUGCACUCAACGAGUCUUCGCCUUGACCGAGAGGUCUGGGAAAUCUUUGAAAUUGCAUCGUGAUGGGGAUAGAUUAUUGCAAUUAUUAAUCUUCAACGAGGAAUCCCUAGUAAGCGCAUGUCAUCAGCGUGCGUUGAUUACGUCCCUGCCCUUUGUACACACCGCCCGUCGCUCCUACCGAUUGAAUGGUCCGGUGAAAUCUCGGGACGGCGGCUUGGUCGCUUGCGUCCGACUGCUGAAACUUGAUUAAACCAUAUCAUUUAGAGGAAGGUGAAGUCGUAACA
Molecule: ribosomal RNA, 320 nt
Filed under: uncultured eukaryote
Lineage: Eukaryota
Description: partial 18S ribosomal RNA
Rfam family: Eukaryotic small subunit ribosomal RNA
Source: RNAcentral